ACCCAAGUAGCUUAAUGGUAAAGCACCCAACCAGCAAUUGGGGGAUUUGGGUUCAAGUCCCGGCUCGGGCU
Strigamia maritima is the source of this 71-nucleotide non-coding RNA. The record is from Rfam. NCBI's taxonomy places the organism in Eukaryota, Metazoa, Arthropoda, Chilopoda, Geophilomorpha, Linotaeniidae.